GGGUCUGUAGCUCAGGUGGUUAGAGUGCACGCCUGAUAAGCGUGAGGUCGGAGGUUCAACUCCUCCCAGACCCACCA
RNAcentral lists this transfer RNA (77 nucleotides) under Rickettsiales endosymbiont of Peranema trichophorum. Its description in RNAcentral is "tRNA-Ile". It matches the Rfam family "tRNA". From Rfam's summary of the family: Transfer RNA (tRNA) molecules are approximately 80 nucleotides in length. Their secondary structure includes four short double-helical elements and three loops (D, anti-codon, and T loops). The record is from RNAcentral. Lineage: Bacteria; Pseudomonadati; Pseudomonadota; Alphaproteobacteria; Rickettsiales.